UAUAUUUUGUUUCUAAAGGUUUUGAAAACCUUAAUUAGGGACUAAAUAGUCCCAACUUUAC
RNAcentral lists this transfer RNA (61 nucleotides) under Micromelo undatus (miniature melo). Its description in RNAcentral is "Micromelo undata (miniature melo) tRNA-Ser". Lineage: Eukaryota; Metazoa; Mollusca; Gastropoda; Aplustridae. The record is from RNAcentral.